GAUGAACGCUGGCGGCGUGCCUAAUACAUGCAAGUCGAACGAAACUUCUUUAUCACCGAGUGCUUGCACUCACCUAUAAAGAGUUGAGUGGCGAACGGGUGAGUAACACGUGGGCAACCUGCCCAAAAGAGGGGGAUAACACUUGGAAACAGGUGCUAAUACCGCAUAACCAUAGUUACCGCAUGGUAACUAUGUAAAAGGUGGCUAUACUACCGCUUUUGGAUGGGCCCGCGGCGCAUUAGCUAGUUGGUAGGGUAAAGGCUUACCAAGGCAAUGAUGCGUAGCCGAAUUGAGAGGUUGAUCGGCCACAUUGGGACUGAGACACGGCCCAAACUCCUACGGGAGGCAGCAGUAGGGAAUCUUCCACAAUGGGCGAAAGCCUGAUGGAGCAACGCCGCGUGGGUGAAGAAGGUCUUCGGAUCGUAAAACCCUGUUGUUAGAGAAGAAAGUGCGUGAGAGUAACUGUUCACGUUUCGACGGUAUCUAACCAGAAAGCCACGGCUAACUACGUG
RNAcentral lists this ribosomal RNA (512 nucleotides) under uncultured bacterium. RNAcentral describes it as "partial 16S ribosomal RNA". It matches the Rfam family "Bacterial small subunit ribosomal RNA", at positions 28 to 507 of the family's 1533-position model. The record is from RNAcentral.